Non-coding RNA from Plectosphaerella plurivora, 88 nucleotides. The record is from the annotation of a GenBank genome assembly. NCBI's taxonomy places the organism in Eukaryota, Fungi, Ascomycota, Sordariomycetes, Glomerellales, Plectosphaerellaceae.
GGUCCGAUGGUGUAGUUGGUUAUCACGUCAGUCUAACAUUCUCUGAAUGGUUCACUGAAGGUCGGGAGAUCGAGCCUCCCUUGGAUCA